This 236-nucleotide long non-coding RNA is filed under the name Elaeis guineensis (African oil palm). Its description in RNAcentral is "long non-coding RNA (EGUI_LNC009437)". The record is from RNAcentral. Lineage: Eukaryota; Viridiplantae; Streptophyta; Magnoliopsida; Arecales; Arecaceae.
ACUGUAUAUCGGAGUUAUGAUUGAUGUUUUUGAUUAUGGAUACUUUUUGUAUUAUCCGAUUGAAAUAUGAAACUAAUCUUAUUGAAAAGGAGAUUUGAUUCGAGAUGGAUUUUGACUCAUAGCUGACUGUAUAUCAAAAUUCUACCAAUGGGAGUUAUAUGUUGGUAUAUCAAUAUCCUAUCAGUAUACGUUGUGCACUGGUACAUCUUUAUCGUACCAAUAGAGAUUAUGCACUG